AUAAUAAUGAAAACCAAAGGCGAAAUGAAAAGGGAAAAUAAAACGUAGUAAUAAAACUACAAAAUAAAGGCGAGGCUUACGCAGUGCCCCCACUGCCGCUAAACCGGUCAGCUCGGGUCUCCGUCCAACGCUCGGUUAUGCACUAUACACUGGGGUGGCCAAGGUUCCCCUUCUAGUCACACACAUUCCCUCAGAGAGAAAACCAACUCCUCCCUGCUCCUGGGGAAUGAAAGACUAAUCUUACUGCAGUUAUAAAGACUAAUCUCACCUCUGGUGGUACUGUUGAAGAGAUGGCCCUCACUCCAGGCGUACUAACAAUACACUGGGCCGGGACCAUAGCAGAGCACAGCCGAGGGUGAGGAGGAGCCGGAGACCGAAGCAGAGAAGGACGGCAGUGCUCGGGUGAAUCAAACGGUAGAAAGGGGAGCUCUAUCACCACAGUGGAAAGAAGGUGUGGGCCUUGUAAGAUUUGUGCUGAACUGAACCCAAGAAAACCGAACCAUGAGCACCUGCAACAGUUGCCUACUGCUAAACCACCCAGCUGCCCAUUUAUUUUGGCAA
Acipenser ruthenus (sterlet) is the source of this 561-nucleotide long non-coding RNA. RefSeq lists it as uncharacterized. The transcript has 3 exons. Lineage: Eukaryota; Metazoa; Chordata; Actinopteri; Acipenseriformes; Acipenseridae. The record is from RefSeq and is a predicted model, not a curated record.